RNAcentral lists this ribosomal RNA (253 nucleotides) under uncultured bacterium. Its description in RNAcentral is "partial 16S ribosomal RNA". It matches the Rfam family "Bacterial small subunit ribosomal RNA", at positions 524 to 776 of the family's 1533-position model. The record is from RNAcentral.
UACGAAGGGGGCUAGCGUUGUUCGGAAUUACUGGGUGUAAAGCGCACGUAGGCGGGUUGUUAAGUCAGGGGUGAAAUCCUGGAGCUCAACUCCAGAACUGCCUUUGAUACUGGCAACCUAGAGACUGGAAGAGGUUAGUGGAAUUCCCAGUGUAGAGGUGAAAUUCGUAGAUAUUGGGAAGAACACCAGUGGCGAAGGCGGCUAACUGGUCCAGCACUGACGCUGAGGUGCGAAAGCGUGGGGAGCAAACAGG